RNAcentral lists this ribosomal RNA (253 nucleotides) under uncultured bacterium. RNAcentral's name for it is "partial 16S ribosomal RNA". It matches the Rfam family "Bacterial small subunit ribosomal RNA", at positions 524 to 776 of the family's 1533-position model. The record is from RNAcentral.
UACAGAGACUGCAAGCGUUAUUCGGAUUCACUGGGCGUAAAGGGUGCGCAGGCGGCCGAGUGUGUGAGGCGUGAAAGCCCGGGGCUUAACCCCGGAAUUGCACCUCAAACUACACGGCUAGAGCAUUGGAGAGGGUAGCAGAAUUCACGGUGUAGCAGUGAAAUGCGCAGAUAUCGGGAGGAACACCAAUGGCGAAGGCAGCUCGCUGGGACGGUACUGACGCUGAGACGCGAAAGCGUGGGGAGCAAACAGG